Molecule: ribosomal RNA, 253 nt
Filed under: uncultured bacterium
Lineage: Bacteria
Description: partial 16S ribosomal RNA
Rfam family: Bacterial small subunit ribosomal RNA
Source: RNAcentral
GACGUAGGGUGCAAGCGUUGUCCGGAUUUAUUGGGCGUAAAGAGCUCGUAGGCGGCUUGUUGCGUCGACUGUGAAAACCCGCGGCUUAACCGCGGGCUUGCAGUUGAUACGGGCAGGCUAGAGUUCGGUAGGGGAGACUGGAAUUCCUGGUGUAGCGGUGAAAUGCGCAGAUAUCAGGAGGAAUACCGAUGGCGAAGGCAGGUCUCUGGGCUGACACUGACGCUCAUGCACGAAAGCGUGGGGAGCAAACAGG